RNAcentral lists this ribosomal RNA (493 nucleotides) under uncultured bacterium. RNAcentral describes it as "bacterial SSU rRNA". It matches the Rfam family "Bacterial small subunit ribosomal RNA", at positions 29 to 533 of the family's 1533-position model. The record is from RNAcentral.
AGCGAACGCUAGCGGCGGGCCCAACACAUGCAAGUCGAGCGGGGAGCAAUCCCAGCGGCGAACGGGUGAGUAACACGUGGGUAAUGUGCCUUCUGGUGGGGAAUAACCUUGGGAAACCAGGGCUAAUACCGCAUAUCGUGCUUCGGCAUGAAAGCCUUCGGGCGCCAGUAGAGCAGCCUGCGUCCCAUUAUUUAGUCCUAGUUGGUAGGGUAAUGGCCUACCAAGGGUACGAUGGGUAGCUGGUCUGAGAGGAUGAUCAGCCACACUGGAACUGAGACACGGUCCAGACUCCUACGGGAGGCAGCAGUGGGGAAUAUUGGACAAUGGGCGCAAGCCUGAUCCAGCAAUGCCGCGUGUGUGAAGAAGGCCUGCGGGUUGUAAAGCACUUUCAGUGGGAAGAACAGAUUCGGGUCAAUACCCCGGAGCCCUGACGUUACCCACAGAAGAAGCACCGGCUAACUCCGUGCCAGCAGACGCGGUAAAGUAGUCGUGU